AGAGCACCGAGGGGGAGCCAGCAGUGAGUGCACUGGGGAGCUCCACACACGCGGCUCCGCAGCUUUGCGCGCCCUUCUACCGCGAGCGGCUGAGUAUCCGCCUGGCUCCCCUGCGGGGUUCCUCCGUGGUCUUCCGGAGAUUCUUUCUGAAGCAGCUUUAGAAUAGUCAAGCCUAUUUUUCUACUCCAUUUCUUUUUGUAAUGUGGGGUCACCUUUCCGCUCUAGAAAUUGCUUUUCUUACGCGAUUCCCACCCCAACUCUCGCCAAGGGCCCUGGUUCUCAUCUCCCCAGUCUUAGCUUCUGACAAGCCUCCAAGAAACUGCGCUUUUUUCUUUUCUGGAGAUGCAGAGUAUGAAAAUGAUUUUGCAAGACUUUUCCAGGUCAUGAGGUGCUCUCUGAGAAAUCUCUUCUGUUCCCUAAAGUACGCAAUUCACAAUUGCAAAAAAUAUGGAACCAGCCUAAAUGUCCAUCAACCAACGAGUGGAUAAAGAAAAUAUAGUAUAUAUAUACCACAGAAUACUACUCAGCCAUAAAAAGGAACAAAAUAAUGGCAUUCUCAGCAACCUGGAUGGAAUUAGAGAUGAUUAUUCUAAGUGAAAUAACUCAGAGUGGAAAACCAAACAUAUGUUCUCAUUCAUAAGCUGGAGCUAAGCUAUGAGGACACAAAGGCAUCAGAAUGAUAUAGUGGAGUCUGGGGGCUCCAGGGGGAAGUGGGGUGAGGGGUAAAAUACUACGUAUUGAGUACAGUGUACACUGCUCUGGUGAUGGGUACACCAAAAUCUCAGAAAUUACUGCAAAAGAAUUUGUUCAUGUCACAAAAAGCCA
RNAcentral lists this long non-coding RNA (825 nucleotides) under Homo sapiens (human). RNAcentral describes it as "non-protein coding STEAP2-AS1:5". Lineage: Eukaryota; Metazoa; Chordata; Mammalia; Primates; Hominidae. The record is from RNAcentral.